GGGUACAUGGUCUAGUGGUAUGAUUUUCGCUUCGCAUGUGAAAGGUCCUGGGUUCAAUUCCCAGUGUAUCCA
RNAcentral lists this transfer RNA (72 nucleotides) under Podospora anserina S mat+. RNAcentral's name for it is "tRNA-Ala (CGC) (tRNA-Ala-CGC-1-1)". It matches the Rfam family "tRNA". From Rfam's summary of the family: Transfer RNA (tRNA) molecules are approximately 80 nucleotides in length. The record is from RNAcentral. Lineage: Eukaryota; Fungi; Ascomycota; Sordariomycetes; Sordariales; Podosporaceae.